UAACGCGUGAGGAACCUGCCUUCCAGAGGGGGACAACAGUUGGAAACGACUGCUAAUACCGCAUGACGCAUGACCGGGGCGAUCCCGGGCAUGUCAAAGAUUUUAUCGCUGGAAGAUGGCCUCGCGUCUGAUUAGCUAGAUGGUGGGGUAACGGCCCACCAUGGCGACGAUCAGUAGCCGGACUGAGAGGUUGACCGGCCACAUUGGGACUGAGAUACGGCCCAGACUCCUACGGGAGGCAGCAUG
This 246-nucleotide ribosomal RNA is filed under the name uncultured bacterium. RNAcentral's name for it is "partial 16S ribosomal RNA". It matches the Rfam family "Bacterial small subunit ribosomal RNA", at positions 111 to 353 of the family's 1533-position model. The record is from RNAcentral.